This 479-nucleotide ribosomal RNA is filed under the name uncultured bacterium. RNAcentral's name for it is "bacterial SSU rRNA". It matches the Rfam family "Bacterial small subunit ribosomal RNA", at positions 364 to 833 of the family's 1533-position model. The record is from RNAcentral.
UUUCGCAAUGCCCGAAAGGGUGACGAAGCGACGCCGCGUGGGUGAGGAAGGCCUUCGGGUUGUAAAGCCCUGUCAGGAGUUAAGAAAUGUAAGUGCGCUAAUAUCGCAUUUAUUUGACGAAGGCUCCAAAGGAAGUCACGGCUAACUCUGUGCCAGCAGCCGCGGUAAUACAGAGGUGGCAAGCGUUGUUCGGAAUUAUUGGGCGUAAAGAGCACGUAGGUGGGUUUGUAAGUCAAAUGUGAAAGCCUUCUGUUCAACGGAAGAAUUGCAUCUGAAACUGCUAAUCUUGAGUAUAGGAGGGGAGAAUGGAACUUCUGGUGGAGCGGUGAAAUGCGUAGAUAUCAGAAGGAACGCCGGCGGCGAAAGCGAUUCUCUGGCCUAUUACUGACACUCAGUGUGCGAAAGCUAGGGGAGCAAACGGGAUUAGAUACCCCGGUAGUCCUAGCCGUAAACGAUGGGCACUAAGUAGAGGGGUUUUA